This 387-nucleotide unclassified non-coding RNA is filed under the name soil metagenome. RNAcentral's name for it is "partial contains 5.8S ribosomal RNA, internal transcribed spacer 2, and large subunit ribosomal RNA". The stretch from base 1 to 120 matches the Rfam family "5.8S ribosomal RNA", at positions 35 to 154 of the family's 154-position model. The record is from RNAcentral.
GAUGAAGAACGUAGCGAAAUGCGAUAAGUAAUGUGAAUUGCAGAAUUCAGUGAAUCAUCGAAUCUUUGAACGCACCUUGCGCUCCUUGGUAUUCCGAGGAGCAUGCCUGUUUGAGUGUCAUGAAAUUCUCAACCUUUUCAGCUUUCUUUGUUGAUCAGGCUUGGAUGUGGGAGUAUGCGGGCUUCUCAGAAGUCGGCUCUCCUGAAAUGCAUUAGCGGGACCUUUGUUGCCUGGCUUUGGUGUGAUAAUUAUCUACGCCAUUGUAGUCAAGCAGCUUAAAAUGAGGCUUCAGCUUCUAACCGUCUCCCCUGAGACAACUUUUUGACAAUUUGACCUCAAAUCAGGUAGGACUACCCGCUGAACUUAAGCAUAUCAAUAAGCGGAGGA